AAUGCAAUUUGAAAAAGAAGGAUUUAAAUAUUGAAUUACAUCAUUCGGUUACUGAUUGUGAAGUAAACAAUAGCAUAUUAAUAGAUUUUAAAAAUGAAUAUAUUUGGUGUUGUGGAAUGUUACAAAAAAAUGGCCACUGUUUGUAUACAAGAGACUUUUAUGCAGAAAUACAACAUCGCCUAUUAAAAAGUGUUAAUGGAACUAGAAGUGGGACUAUACAUACCUGUAGCUGUCUUGGUCUCGUUGGUGGUCUUGAAGUUCAUGUUCUACCUACUAUUUGGAUAGUAUUAGAGCUACUUCUAAUUUUACCAGUCAAAAGCAUUUAAGGACUGAGAGCUAGUUACUUUUAUAAGUUGAUUUAUUAAAAACUCGAGUUAUUGUGCUUCGCUUAUACAAUGUAACACACAAACUUUUUCGACUGUUUAUCACAAAGAAGUAUCUCAUCAUUGUUAUUAUGAAGUCUGUAUAAAUAAGAAGAUGGUAUGAAGUAAUUACUGUGAAGAUAAAAGGUUAACUUCGUAUUUUUUAUUUGAAAUGUAAAUUAACAUGUACGGUUUAGUUUUAGGCCUCAUUCACAUACAACUGUGAAUUUGUAUUGUAAAAAUUUGCACAAGUAGAUUUAAUGAUUUGAAAUAACAGUACAUAUAAUACCUUUGUAGACAUGGCUUUGUUUUUAUUGGUUGGAUUGCAAAACUAUUUGCAGAUUUAAAGUCCAUGUCAUUUUUGGAAUUAAGUUGCCUUAUUAUAAGAUCAUGGAUCAAGAGGAUAAGAGAAAAGAAUCUCUCAAAAAUAAGCAAGCACAGUGUUUUACUUCCAGUGGGUAUAUUUCAUUUAACUGACGUCCAUUUUUGAAUCUACUUGUAGAUUUGAUUCUACAUAUUUUACGCAUGGAAUGAUGAAUUUAAUUAAU
Agrilus planipennis (emerald ash borer) is the source of this 910-nucleotide long non-coding RNA. RefSeq lists it as uncharacterized. The transcript is spliced from 3 exons. The record is from RefSeq and is a predicted model, not a curated record. Lineage: Eukaryota; Metazoa; Arthropoda; Insecta; Coleoptera; Buprestidae.